AUUUAUAGAUAUGAGUAGAGAUUUAGCAUCAUUCUUAAGGGCCCAAGGAUUUUUGGAAUGAUAAACGAGUAUUGGCUUCAGCUUGAAGUCAACAACUGCAUUAGCCCCUAACAAGAGAAUCACUGUGUCUUUUAAAGUUUUGAAGCCAAGCACUGACAUCUCCUCUUUGGCUAUGAAAGUCCUAGAUAGCAUCUUCUUCCAAUAGAAGGCUGUUUUAUCUAUACUGAAAAUC
Sapajus apella (tufted capuchin) is the source of this 232-nucleotide long non-coding RNA. RefSeq lists it as uncharacterized. The record is from RefSeq and is a predicted model, not a curated record. NCBI's taxonomy places the organism in Eukaryota, Metazoa, Chordata, Mammalia, Primates, Cebidae. The transcript is spliced from 3 exons.